AGUAGAGUUACAGAGAAGAAUGAGGCAAUGAGGCCAUAUGAGGCCAUAUUCCAGCCGUCGACGAAGUGGCCCAAAGAGGAAAACAGACAUGGCAUCAAUUCCUAACCUUAAUACCUGGGAGUGGAAACACUGACCUAGAAAUAUUCACAGAGAGCUGUGAGCCAUGGUAAUUCUUCCCUGUCUGACAAACUUCAACCUGAAC
This 202-nucleotide long non-coding RNA is filed under the name Homo sapiens (human). RNAcentral's name for it is "HSALNT0190773". The record is from RNAcentral. Lineage: Eukaryota; Metazoa; Chordata; Mammalia; Primates; Hominidae.